RNAcentral lists this ribosomal RNA (253 nucleotides) under uncultured bacterium. Its description in RNAcentral is "partial 16S ribosomal RNA". It matches the Rfam family "Bacterial small subunit ribosomal RNA", at positions 524 to 776 of the family's 1533-position model. The record is from RNAcentral.
UACGGAGGGUGCAAGCGUUAAUCGGAAUUACUGGGCGUAAAGAGUGCGUAGGCGGUUUGAUAAGCGGAGUGUGAAAUCCCCGGGCUUAACCUGGGAAUGGCAUUUGGGACUGCAAGGCUGGAGUGCGGCAGAGGAGACUGGAAUUCCUGGUGUAGCAGUGAAAUGCGUAGAUAUCAGGAGGAACACCGAUGGCGAAGGCAGGUCUCUGGGCUGACACUGACGCUCAUGCACGAAAGCGUGGGGAGCAAACAGG